Schizosaccharomyces pombe (fission yeast) is the source of this 1316-nucleotide non-coding RNA. Lineage: Eukaryota; Fungi; Ascomycota; Schizosaccharomycetes; Schizosaccharomycetales; Schizosaccharomycetaceae. The record is from the annotation of a GenBank genome assembly.
AUCCUUAACGCCAGGACGGAUUGGAGCAUCUUGACGACCUUCAUUGAUAUGAGAUUCAAUCAUAACACCAACAAUGGAAGAGUCGCCAUUUCUGAUUUGUUCGGCGAUGCUCUUGGAGACCUUUGGUUGGUUCAAAUGAUUCUUGCUUGAGUUGCCAUGAGAGCAAUCGAUCAUGAUACGAGGAGGAAGGUUGGCCUUCUCAAGAUCUUUGCGAACGGCGGCAACGUGCUCAGCAUCAUAGUUAGGACCCUUCUUACCACCACGCAAAAUGAUGAAGGUAUCCUUGUUGCCCCUGGUCAUGGUAAUAGCGGCGAGACCUUGUUUAGUAACUCCUAGCAUUGUGUGAGGAUGGGCGGUAGCACCAAUGGCAUCAAUCGCCACACCAACAGUACCAUCAGUACCAUUCUUGAAACCAACAGGGAAGGAAAGGGCAGAAGCCAAUUCACGAUGUAAUUGAGACUCGGUAGUACGAGCACCGAUAGCACCAAAACUGAGUAAGUCGGCGAAGAAUUGGGGAGAAAUGUUGUCCAACAUCUCACUGGCCAAAGGAAUGCCAAAAUUGGUAACGUCGCAAUACAUUUGACGAGCCAUCCUAAUACCCUUGUUGAUAGCAAAAGAACCAUCCAAGUUAGGGUCGUUGACCAAACCCUUCCAUCCGAUAGUAGUACGGGGCUUCUCCAAAUAACAACGCAUGACAACGCACAAAGCAUCCUGAAGCUCGUCAGCUUUGGGCUUCAGCAACUUAGCAUAGUCCAUGGCCAAUUUAGGGUCAUGAAUGGAGCAAGGACCGACAACAACGAUAAUUCUGUCAUCUUGUUUGUUGAGAAUAGCUUGAAUCUCCUUUCUGGAGUCAGUGAUGACUUUGCGAGAAGUUUCAGAAACAGGAAUCUCUUGUUGAACCAAAGCGGCAGGAACCAAAGGGUUGUAACCUAAGACACGGUUGUCAUCAAGAUGCUCUUGAUCGUAAGUUUCACCGCUGGGUAAAAAAACCUAAUUGAAUAAUGUUAGCAAAUUGACAUUAAAAAAAAAGACCAAACAUGCUGGACAUAGCAAUCAACAUAAAGCAAUAAAAAUUUCAAAAAAAAGAAACAAAAAAAUUUAAAAUUUCAAUUGCCUAAAAAUUCAUCAGCAAAAACAAAUUUGUUAUCCGCAUAGUAAAAUCUACUAUAUAACUCAAUAAGAUAACUUUCAGUACUGUUUCUCCGACUGAUGAAAAUUUUUACUAGCAAAAUUCUUUGGAUGCCCAAUUGGGGUUACUUACCGGAGACAUGGCUUAUUAAAUAGAAUUAAUAAAUUUAGGUCAAAGAGUGCUUCCU